This 2644-nucleotide long non-coding RNA is filed under the name Homo sapiens (human). RNAcentral's name for it is "HSALNT0050249". Lineage: Eukaryota; Metazoa; Chordata; Mammalia; Primates; Hominidae. The record is from RNAcentral.
CAUGUACCAUGCGAAAUUGAUUGUACGUGCUACAAUCCACAUUUUAGAAUUGAAGAAAUAUUAACAGUCAAUGAUCUAGGCAGCAUAAACGAUACCUUCUUCUGCAGAAUACACCACCGUGGUGGGACUGAAAGGGCCUUCUCCUUUGUUGUUGAAGACACCUACUUUAACCUCAAAGGGAGAGAAGGGGUGCACGCUCUCAUUCCUGAACACGUAUCUAGAGGCAUCAGCUGAGGCCAGCACUGUCAGCAUCCAGAUCAUUUUACCGUAGGGCCGGAAGGCCACCACAUAACCAAAGCCUCGACCAUUCUGUAAUUCCUCAGGGACCGUCUGGGAAAGAAGGAAGGUGGUCUUCAGAAAUCACAGUAGUUUCACUCAAAUGCAAAAAUCGUUUUUGUUUCCCUUGUAACAUUCUUGUCUACAUCCUUCUCCACCCAUCUUAUUUGGCGUUUUGUUAACAGUCUUUUAAAUUUAGGGCUUGCAGUCAGUCUAUCUUAAACAGUUAUGAUGUACUGGACAGGGUUGAAAACGUAAUGAGGAUCUGCAGUCCAGAGCUUGCUCUUUGAUGGGGCAGACCCAGCUCUGAAAUGGUUGGAAAUGAUUGUAAAAAAAAAAACACUGGACAUCGGUCUCCUGAAAAACCACAUUUCCAACACGUAUCCUCUAAUACUAAUCUUCUUCCAUUGCCAAAUAGACAAAAGAUCUCACUGAAGGAAGAAAAACCAUCUUGGCUGAAGAUCCUCCCUCUCAGAGGGAAGAGUUCAGCUGGAGGGAUGAGUGAUUUCUUUCACUGCUGUGCUUUGGGUAAAUGAGAGAUUUUAAUUUCUGGGGCUGUUUAGAAUCUUUCAAAAACAUGAAGAACCCUUUCUAAAGCUCCCACCUCUUCUCUCAAAGCCAAUUUUUAAUAAAUUGGUGACUAACUUUCCUCCAGGUUGUUUUAAAAAAUACCUCCUAAAAGAGGGCCCCUUCUAGAAGCAAAGCCAAUUGCCAGGAAAUUGUGCUGGUGCACUGAAUCUAUUGCUGGCAGACGUUUUAAAUCAAUUGGCCAUGCAGCAAUUCAGGAAGAAAAGAAAAACUAGUUUUCUCUGAAACAGCCUUCUUUAUUUUUUUUUGUAACGUGUGUUGUCUUCCCUUCAUAAUUGUUUUUACUGUGAUGGAUUGAAUUAAAACUUGCCUCAACAAUGGAUGGGCAAGUGCCGUCCUUCCUGCUAGCCAUUAGCUACGUGAGAGGGAGUGUCUGAACCCAAAUGAAUUUUCACUGUUAAAAACAGAGGAGGAAACUUCCCAGCUAUGUCUAACAUGGAGGAAAAUAAUAAAAUAGCUUCGAUGCGUGUACGUUCCUUUUAUUCUGUGAUUCAUUUACCUCCCAGGUUAUAACCAGUUCAGAUUUGCUGCCUCCGCCACCACUGACAUUCGCUGGUGUGACUUCGGGGACUGCACAAGGAGACAAAAAACAAGUUAUGUCAGGCGGCAAAGGCGAAUGAGGGCCAGGAAGGUUGCCUGGCAGAGGUGACUCACUUUCAGUGAGUACUCUGAGGCACGCCCCUUUGUCUCUGGAGAUCAGCAACAGCAUUGUCAAGGGGCCCACGGCGACCGCUCGAGGAAGUGAAAUGUACCAAGGAGACUGCUAUUAAUUACCUGUUUCCCAUUCAACAAGGCACACGUGUUAUCUGACACGUCUGACCAAUUGUUCAGCUCCAUCCCUAGAGGCCGAGGGGUUCCCGAAGGGAGGAAAGGACUGAAGUCUGGUCCUAAUGUUUGGUUAUGCGUUUAUGAGCCACGUGGAGAUACACAAAGGGAAGAGUACAAGCUCUGCCCAGGCAGAGCUUACAAGCUGGUUGGAGUGGAGGAGCGCCUGCACCAGUUAGAGCAAGGUCGACAACCAGGGUUUGUGCUAUGUUCCUUUGAAUUGCAUGAGGUGAAUACUUAAGGAAGAAGGAAGACUGGACUUCCCUGUAAGAGAGUAUAUAGCAAGAGGAAGAACUGCCUGAUGGUUUAACACCCUGGUUUUGGAGUCAGAAGGACCUGAGUACAAACUUAGCACUCUUACUUUCUACCUGUAUGAUGUAGAGCCUCUAAUUCUGCAGCCAUGAACAUCACUAUGGAAAUCCUUAAUACACUUAUUUCAGAGUAAAAGGGAAAGCUUAUUCAGAGCUGUCCCAGGUGCUGAUUCCAGCCCUCACAGUGUUCUCUCUCCAACUGCCUGAGUUUUUUGUCACCCUCUUCGGUCAUACCAAAUAAAACCUUACAAUUUAGAUAUUACUUUGGAAUUACAAAAAUAUCAUUUUAAACCAUAAAUACCUUCUUCAAAAGUAUGACCUUGCUAUUAAUCACUUUCAGUGAAGAGUGAAUUAAUUCAAUCAGGUUGCUUUCACUUAACAAGUAAGUAAGAGCAGUAUGGAGUCUUCAAAUGUGAGUUUUGAAUAACCAAAGAAGAAUCAAAGGAAAAUUUAAUCUAUGAAAUAGUGGAGAAGGCAAAAUAGCGCUGAGAAAGUUCAAGAAGGAUAAUGACUUAAAAAACUGGAUGAGGAAAGUGGUGUGUGGAGACUGCCAAAGACAAAUUUGCCUAGGGUCAGCAAUCCUCUAUUUAGCAAAAUUGGAGGUUAUUCUCCUCUUUCUCUUCUUGCACCACAUUACUAGAUCA